RNAcentral lists this unclassified non-coding RNA (337 nucleotides) under soil metagenome. RNAcentral describes it as "partial contains 5.8S ribosomal RNA, internal transcribed spacer 2, and large subunit ribosomal RNA". The stretch from base 1 to 120 matches the Rfam family "5.8S ribosomal RNA", at positions 35 to 154 of the family's 154-position model. The record is from RNAcentral.
GAUGAAGAACGUAGUGAAAUGCGAUAAGUAGUGUGAAUUGCAGAAUUCAGUGAAUCAUCGAAUCUUUGAACGCACAUUGCGCCCCUUGGUAUUCCAUGGGACAUGCCUGUUCGAGCGUCAUUUGUACCUUCAAGCUCUGCUUGGUGUUGGGUGUUUGUCUCGCCUCUGCGUGUAGACUCGCCUCAAAACAAUUGGCAGCCGGCGUAUUGAUUUCGGAGCGCAGUACAUCUCGCGCUUUGCACUCAUAACGACGACGUCCAAAAGUACAUUUUUACACUCUUGACCUCGGAUCAGGUAGGGAUACCCGCUGAACUUAAGCAUAUCAAUAAGCGGAGGA